CUCCUACGGGAGGCAGCAGUGGGGAAUAUUGGACAAUGGGCGCAAGCCUGAUCCAGCCAUGCCGCGUGAGUGAUGAAGGCCCUAGGGUUGUAAAGCUCUUUCGCCAGGGACGAUAAUGACGGUACCUGGAUAAGAAGCCCCGGCUAACUUCGUGCCAGCAGCCGCGGUAAUACGAAGGGGGCUAGCGUUGUUCGGAAUCACUGGGCGUAAAGCGCACGUAGGCGGAUCUUUAAGUCAGGGGUGAAAUCCCGAGGCUCAACCUCGGAACUGCCUUUGAUACUGGAGGUCUCGAGUCCGGGAGAGGUGAGUGGAACUGCGAGUGUAGAGGUGAAAUGCGUAGAUAUCGGAAGGAACACCAGCGGCGAAGGCGGCUCUCUGGACUGAAACUGACGCUGAGGCGCGAAAGCGUGGGGAGCAAACAGGAUUAGAUACCCUGGUAGUCCACGCUGUAAACGAUGAGAACUAGCUGUUGGUACAUUUGUAUCAGUAGCGCAGCUAACGCGAUAAGUUCUCCGCCUGGGGAUUACGGUCGCAAGACUAAAACUCAAAGGAAUUGACGG
Molecule: ribosomal RNA, 560 nt
Filed under: uncultured bacterium
Lineage: Bacteria
Description: bacterial SSU rRNA
Rfam family: Bacterial small subunit ribosomal RNA
Source: RNAcentral